RNAcentral lists this ribosomal RNA (1186 nucleotides) under Ceramium brevizonatum. Its description in RNAcentral is "LSU rRNA". It matches the Rfam family "Eukaryotic large subunit ribosomal RNA", at positions 867 to 2066 of the family's 3401-position model. The record is from RNAcentral. Lineage: Eukaryota; Rhodophyta; Florideophyceae; Ceramiales; Ceramiaceae.
GUGGAGGCUCGUAGCGGUGCUGACGUGCAAAUCGCUCGUCCAACUCGGGUAUAGGGGCGAAAGACUAAUCGAACCAUCUAGUAGCUGGUUCCCUCCGAAGUUUCUCUCAGGAUAGCGGGCAGACUUAUUGUUGUUUUGUGCGGUAAAGCGAAUGAUUAGCGCAUUCGGGGGCGUUUAGCCUUUGGGCGAUUCUCAAACUUUAAAUGCGCAAGGGCGCCGCUGCUUUGUUGAGCGGUGCCGAUAAAAACGUCUGCCCUGUGGGCCACUUUUGGUAAGCAGAACUGGCGAUACGGGAUGAACCGUAAGCGUGGUUAAGGCGUCAAAUUGUCCGCUCAAAGAUCCCACAAAAGGUGUUGAUUCAUCGAGACAGCAGGACGGUGGCCAUGGAAGUCGGAAUCCGCUAAGGAGUGUGUAACAACUCACCUGCCGAAUGAAUUAGCCCUGAAAAUGGAUGACGCUUAAGCGGACAGCCGACACCACGUCGUCUGAUCAAAGUGGCUUUUAUUCAGAUGAGUAGGAGGGCGUGGCGGUUGUAUGGAAGCGUCGGUGCGAACCGGCGUGAAACGGCCGCUAGUGCAGAUCUUGGUGGUAGUAGCAAAUAUUCAAGUGAGAUCCUUGAAGGACGAAGCGGGGAAGGGUUCCACGCGAACAUUGAUUGAGCGUGGGUGAGUCGUUCCUAAGCCGAGUGGUCAUAGCUAAUUACCGGCGAAAGGGAAGCAGGUUGACAUUCCUGCACACGGAUGUGGAGUCGGUGACGCCGUAUUGAGGUGAUGACGUUGGCAGUGGCUCUGGGCAGAGUUUUCUUUUCUGUUUGACCGUCAAUGUGCGCUGUGUGGAAUCCGCUUGUCGGGAGAAACACGCGUGCACGGGCAGAGCGCCGGGGCUUUUCCGGCGUCCAGAUCGCCACUGACGACCCUUGAAAAAUCACCCGCUGAAUUAUACAAUCCACGCCGUGGCGUACCGAUUACCGCAUCAGGUCCCCAAGGUGAACAGCCUCUGUCCGAUAUGAAAAAUGCAGGUAAGGGAAGUCGGCAAAUUAGACCCGUAACUUUGGGAAAAGGGUUGGCUCUAGUGCUGCGUGGGAUUGGUUGUCAUAUUUUAGAUCCAUUUCUAGGCACUUUGUUGCGGAGAAGUUUUUUUUAAANUUUUUCUGUGGCAUUGAGCUCAGGAGGUGGGUUUUGGUACG